CUCCAGCAGCCCCCAACCCGGCGCCCGCAGCAGCCGCUCCUCCAACGCGCGGCCCUCAGCCGCCACCACCGCCCACGCCGACGUCAUGGCUGCCUGGGGGGAGAGCGGGGGGUCAGCCCCAUAGCGGACCCACACACCCACUGUUGUGGGGCUCAGCCCCAUAGGGGACCCCACACACCCACUGCCGUGGGGCUCAGCCCCAUAGCGGACCCCACAGACCCACUGCCGUGGGGCUCAGCCCCAUAGGGGACCCCACAGACCCAUUGUUGUGAGGCUAAGCCCUAUAGGGGAUCACACAGACCCAUUGCCGUGGGGCUCAGCCCCAUAGCGGACCCCACACACACACUGCCGUGGGGCUCAGCCCCAUAGCGGACCCCACAGACCCAUUGUUGUGAGGCUCAGCCCUAUAGGGGAUCACACAGACCCACUGCUGUGGGGCUCAGCCCCAUAGCGGACCCCACAGACCCAUUGUUGUGGGGCUCAGCCCUAUAGGAGACGCUGGAGAGUCCCCAUUGGAGGGCUUCGGCCCUAUAUGAGGCUGUAGGGGUGCCAUGGGUGGGGCUCAGCCCUAUAGGGGACCCCACAGACCCAUUGUUGUGGGGCUCAGCCCCAUAGGGGACCCCACAGACCCACUGCUGUGGGGCUCAGCCCCAUAGGGGACCCCACACACCCACUGCCGUGGGGCUAAGCCCUAUAGGGGAUCACACAGACCCAUUGCCGUGGGGCUCAGCCCCAUAGCGGACCCCACAGACCCACUGCCGUGGGGCUCAGCCCCAUAGGGGACCCCACAGACCCAUUGUUGUGAGGCUAAGCCCUAUAGGGGAUCACACAGACCCAUUGCCGUGGGGCUCAGCCCCAUAGCGGACCCCACAGACCCACUGCCGUGGGGCUCAGCCCCAUAGCGGACCCCACAGUCCCACUGCCGUGGGGCUCAGCCCCAUAGGGGACCCCACAGACCCAUUGUUGUGAGGCUAAGCCCUAUAGGGGAUCACACAGACCCAUUGCCGUGGGGCUCAGCCCCAUAGCGGACCCCACACACCCACUGUUGUGGGGCUCAGCCCCAUAGCGGACCCCACACACCCACUGCCGUGGGGCUCAGCCCUAUAGGAGACCCCACAGACCCACUGCCGUGGGGCUCAGCCCCAUAGGGGACCCCACAGACCCGUUAUUGUGAGGCUCAGCCCCAUAGGGGACCCCACAGACCCACUGCUGUGGGGCUCAGCCCUAUAGGGGACCCCACAGACCCACUGCCGUGGGGCUCAGCCCUAUAGGGGAUCCCACAGACCCAUUCUUGUGGGGCUCAGCCCUAUAGGAGACGCUGGAGAGUCCCCAUUGGAGGGCUUCGGCCCUAUAUGAGGCUGUAGGGGUGCCAUGGGUGGGGCUCAGCCCUAUAGGGGACCCCACAGACCCAUUGUUGUGGGGCUCAGCCCCAUAGGGGACCCCACAGACCCACUGCUGUGGGGCUCAGCCCCAUAGCGGACCCCACAGACCCACUGCCGUGGGGCUCAGCCCCAUAGGGGACUCCAUAGACACAGUGUUGUGGGGCUCAGCCCUAUAGGGGACCCCACAGACCCACUGCCGUGGGGCUCAGCCCCAUAGUGGACCCCACAGACCCAUUGUUGUGAGGCUCAGCCCUAUAGGGGAUCACACAGACCCACUGCCGUGGGGCUCAGCCCUAUAGGAGACCCCACAGACCCAUUGUUGUGAGGCUCAGCCCUAUAGGGGAUCACACAGACCCACUGCCGUGGGGCUCAGCCCUAUAGGGGACCCCACAGACCCAUUGCUAUGAGGCUCAGCUCUAUAAGGGACCCCACAGAACCAUUCUUGUGGGGCUCAGCCCCAUAGGGGACCCCACAGACCCACUGCCGUGGGGCUCAGCCCCAUAGGGGACUCCAUAGACACAGUGUUGUGGGGCUCAGCCCUAUAGGGGAUCACACAGACCCGUUGCCGUGGGGCUCAGCCCUAUAGGGGACCCCACAGACCCACUGCCGUGGGGCUCAGCCCCAUAGGGGACUCCACAGACCCAUUGUUGUGGGGCUCAGCCCCAUAGGGGACCCCACAGACCCACUGCCGUGGGGCUCAGCCCCAUAGGGGACUCCAUAGACACAGUGUUGUGGGGCUCAGCCCUAUAGGGGAUCACACAGACCCACUGCCGUGGGGCUCAGCCCUAUAGCAGACCCCACAGACCCACUGCCGUGGGGCUCAGCCCUAUAGGGGACCCUACAGAC
Molecule: long non-coding RNA, 2228 nt
Filed under: Gallus gallus (chicken)
Lineage: Eukaryota; Metazoa; Chordata; Aves; Galliformes; Phasianidae
Description: lncRNA (ENSGALG00010000701.1)
Source: RNAcentral